GUGAAGCGAGACUGUGAAGUGGAGCAAUCACAAAAGACCGUCUCAGUUCGGAUCGCAGGCUGCAACCCGCCUGCGUGAAGUUGGAAUUGCUAGUAAUCGCGGAUCAGCAAGCCGCGGUGAAUACGUUUCCCCGGGGCCUUGUACACACCGCCCGUCACACCAUGAGAGUCGGGAACACCCGAAGUCCGUAGUCUAACCGCAAGGAGGGCGCGGCCGAAGGUGGGUUCGAUAAUUGGGGUGAAGUCGUAACAAGGUACC
RNAcentral lists this ribosomal RNA (258 nucleotides) under uncultured bacterium. Its description in RNAcentral is "partial 16S ribosomal RNA". It matches the Rfam family "Bacterial small subunit ribosomal RNA", at positions 1244 to 1500 of the family's 1533-position model. The record is from RNAcentral.